RNAcentral lists this ribosomal RNA (416 nucleotides) under uncultured bacterium. RNAcentral describes it as "bacterial SSU rRNA". It matches the Rfam family "Bacterial small subunit ribosomal RNA", at positions 30 to 482 of the family's 1533-position model. The record is from RNAcentral.
AUUGAACGCUGGCGGUAUGCUUAAGACAUGCAAGUCGAACGGUAACAGGUUAAGCUGACGAGUGGCGGACGAGUGAGUAACGCGUGGGAAUCUACCUUGUAGUGGGGGAUAAGCCAGGGAAACUUGGACUAAUACCGCAUACGCCCUAAGGGGGAAAGGCGCAAGUCGCUAUAAGAUGAGCCCGCGUCUGAUUAGGUAGUUGGUGGGGUAAAGGCCCACCAAGCCGACGAUCAGUAGCUGGUCUGAGAGGAUGAUCAGCCACGUCGGGACUGAGACACGGCCCGGACUCCUACGGGAGGCAGCAGUCGGGAAUAUUGGACAAUGGGGGAAACCCUGAUCCAGCAAUACCGCGUGUGUGAAGAAGGCCUGCGGGUUGUAAAGCACUUUCAGUUGGGAAGGAUAAUGACGUUACCAAC